UUUCAAGGGCUUUGUUUCACACAACGUUUGAUUAAAUAAAAAAUAAGCUAGAAAACACGCACGGACGGACUUUUAAUUUUAUUUUACAAGCAUGGAACAAAUUUAUCAAGGAUAAGCGUUUCAUAUCAGGACAACAGAUUAGAAGAGAAAACUGACGUCAGACAUCUCAUAAUUGUGUGUUAAACAUUGUUAUUAAAAACAUAUUUAUCGAAGAAAUUUACAAAUAAAUUAAUUUAUUCGAGACAGGUCUGUAAACAGUCCAUUAUUUGAUAGUUAGCAAUGUGGGUGGCAGUAAUUUCUUUAAGAGUGAAAGCGCUACAAUAAACAACUCAGGUGCCCCUCGAUGCUUUGACGGACUUUGAUAAGACAUUGACUAGAUAUCAUCAGUUCACCUGAACAAGGGAUUUUUCCCUUGUCCAGCUCGUCAAAAAUGAAUUUUUGGCGCAGUUUGGUCAGUUUUGAUUGUUGCUAUCUGGCAAAACUCGCAAGUGCCUUGCAAUCUCUCUACUACGCAGUUUCGCUUGAAAAGCUCGGCGCGGGAAGUGACUUACCGAUGAGGAGCGCCGGCUCCUUGUUGUCUUCGACGAGGGAGGAAAGCACGAGAAGAAGGGGCUGCGCUGUCGUAAUCCGCUCUUUAUCACACGUGUUGUCGUCGUAGACGAUGACCUCCUUGAAGGCCCUCCGCUUGAGCACGUCUUUUCCCUCCCUCGUGGUGGCCAGGUCGGCCAGGGUGGCCUUCCCCUGCUGCAGCCGGCGCCGGUUGAACCUGUCCGAGCAGUUGAUGUUGAUGGCCCCGUUGAUGUGGUUGACGUUGUAGGAGAUGAACGGGCGGCAGUCCAGCACGAUGAAGGACUUGGGGCCAUGCCGGGCCGCCUCGAGCUUGACUUUGAGCCCGUCGGGGUCCAGCGUCUUGACCUUCUUCAGGACGAGGGCCCUCUGGAGGGUCGCGCUCUCGGCGCACGGACUCGUCGGCAGGCUCACGCUCGGGGUAUCCAGCUUGCAGCGCUUGGGGGGACUUAGCGUGAGAUGGCCCGGGGUCGGGGGUCCAGGCUCACUAAAACUUCGGUUUAGAGGAAGCUUUAGACCGUCCCGCGGCCGACUGCUUUCGAGACACACUGACAUGACGCUAGUUACGCACGUCACGCGCUAUAUCUGGAAGAGUUGAGGAAAACUCACGUUAGUGCCAACACAUGCUGUUGUUCUCGGUUAUAAAUGCAACAACACCCCCUUGAACGGCCCAUGCACCCCUCCACGCACUCCUGACUCACGGCGCACUUAUCAAUGAAACUGGGUGAAUGACUGGAUGAUAAUUACUCCUUCCUGUUGCAUGGUGCGAGAAGAACAAUUUGUGGAACUUAAUUAGGGGUGGCCUAGCGCGCUUUCGGCCACAUGAUCGACUUGCGGAGGGGCGAAGCAACAAGUUGACAACAGAAAUUUGAUUAAUUCCUUAUCUAUCUCAAUUAAUAUCGCUUUAAUCAGGAGCAAAUCGCAAUUGUUGUAUCAGCCCAUUAUUAUUAUUAUAUUUGAUAAGAUAACAAUGGCUCAAUUUGUCUUGUAGGAUUUUUGAUUUUACUCCAAAUUAAAAAUUGCUGUUUGA
Molecule: long non-coding RNA, 1597 nt
Organism: Tribolium castaneum (red flour beetle)
Lineage: Eukaryota; Metazoa; Arthropoda; Insecta; Coleoptera; Tenebrionidae
Exons: 2
Source: RefSeq, a predicted model, not a curated record